CAGUAGCCGCGGUAAUACGGAGGGUGCAAGCGUUAUCCGGAUUUAUUGGGUUUAAAGGGUCCGUAGGCGGAUCUGUAAGUCAGUGGUGAAAUCUCACAGCUUAACUGUGAAACUGCCAUUGAUACUGCAGGUCUUGAGUAAAUUUGAAGUGGCUGGAAUAAGUAGUGUAGCGGUGAAAUGCAUAGAUAUUACUUAGAACACCAAUUGCGAAGGCAGGUCACUAAGAUUUAACUGACGCUGAUGGACGAAAGCGUGGGGAGCGAACAGGAUUAGAGACCCCAGUAGUCCCUGUCUCUUAUAC
This 301-nucleotide ribosomal RNA is filed under the name uncultured bacterium. RNAcentral's name for it is "partial 16S ribosomal RNA". It matches the Rfam family "Bacterial small subunit ribosomal RNA", at positions 509 to 807 of the family's 1533-position model. The record is from RNAcentral.